UACGUAGGGUGCAAGCGUUGUCCGGAAUUAUUGGGCGUAAAGAGCUCGUAGGCGGUCUGUCGCGUCUGCUGUGAAAACUCAGGGCUUAACCCUGAGCUUGCAGUGGGUACGGGCAGACUAGAGUGCGGUAGGGGAGACUGGAAUUCCUGGUGUAGCGGUGAAAUGCGCAGAUAUCAGGAGGAACACCGGUGGCGAAGGCGGGUCUCUGGGCCGAUACUGACGCUGAGGAGCGACAGCGUGGGGAGCAAACAGG
This 253-nucleotide ribosomal RNA is filed under the name uncultured bacterium. RNAcentral describes it as "partial 16S ribosomal RNA". It matches the Rfam family "Bacterial small subunit ribosomal RNA", at positions 524 to 776 of the family's 1533-position model. The record is from RNAcentral.